Molecule: non-coding RNA, 26 nt
Filed under: Cricetulus griseus (Chinese hamster)
Lineage: Eukaryota; Metazoa; Chordata; Mammalia; Rodentia; Cricetidae
Source: RNAcentral
CAAACAUGAAACUGACCCUCGAUGCC